Molecule: ribosomal RNA, 924 nt
Filed under: Candovia coenosa
Lineage: Eukaryota; Metazoa; Arthropoda; Insecta; Phasmatodea; Lonchodidae
Description: SSU rRNA
Rfam family: Eukaryotic small subunit ribosomal RNA
Source: RNAcentral
GCAGCAGGCGCGCAAAUUACCCCACUCCCGGCACGGGGAGGUAGUGACGAAAAAUAACGAUACGGGACUCAUCCGAGGCCCCGUAAUCGGAAUGAGUACACUCUAAACCCUUUAACGAGUAUCCAUUGGAGGGCAAGUCUGGUGCCAGCAGCCGCGGUAAUUCCAGCUCCAAUAGCGUAUAUUAAAGUUGUUGCGGUUAAAAAGCUCGUAGUUGGACUUGUGUCCCACGCUGUCGGUUCACCGUUCGUCGGUGUUUAACUGGCAUGCCCGUGCGGACGUCCUGCCGGUGGAUGCGGUCGGCCGUGGGCCUCUGGUCUGCGUGUCGGCGGUCCGAUGCAAUCCUACCGCGGUGCUCUUCACCGAGUGUCGAGGUGGGCCGGCACGUUUACUUUGAACAAAUUAGAGUGCUCAAAGCAGGCAGUGGUUCGCCUGAAUAUUGUGUGCAUGGAAUAAUGGAAUAGGACCUCGGUUCUAUUUUGUUGGUUUUCGGAACCUGAGGUAAUGAUUAAUAGGGACAGACGGGGGCAUUCGUAUUGCGACGUUAGAGGUGAAAUUCUUGGAUCGUCGCAAGACGAACCUAAGCGAAAGCAUUUGCCAUGAGUGUUUUCAUUAAUCAAGAACGAAAGUUAGAGGUUCGAAGGCGAUCAGAUACCGCCCUAGUUCUAACCAUAAACGAUGCCAGCUAGCGAUCCGCCGAAGUUCCUCCGAUGACUCGGCGGGCAGCUUCCGGGAAACCAAAGCUUUUGGGUUCCGGGGGAAGUAUGGUUGCAAAGCUGAAACUUAAAGGAAUUGACGGAAGGGCACCACCAGGAGUGGAGCCUGCGGCUUAAUUUGACUCAACACGGGAAACCUCACCAGGCCCGGACACCGGAAGGAUUGACAGAUUGAUAGCUCUUUCUUGAUUCGGUGGGUGGUGGUGCAUGG